AUUGAACGCUGGCGGCAGGCCUAACACAUGCAAGUCGAACGGUAACAGGAAGCAGCUUGCUGCUUUGCUGACGAGUGGCGGACGGGUGAGUAAUGUCUGGGAAACUGCCUGAUGGAGGGGGAUAACUACUGGAAACGGUAGCUAAUACCGCAUAACGUCGCAAGACCAAAGAGGGGGACCUUCGGGCCUCUUGCCAUCGGAUGUGCCCAGAUGGGAUUAGCUAGUAGGUGGGGUAACGGCUCACCUAGGCGACGAUCCCUAGCUGGUCUGAGAGGAUGACCAGCCACACUGGAACUGAGACACGGUCCAGACUCCUACGGGAGGCAGCAGUGGGGAAUAUUGCACAAUGGGCGCAAGCCUGAUGCAGCCCUGCCGCGUGUAUGAAGAAGGCCUUCGGGUUGUAAAGUACUUUCAGCGGGGAGGAAGGGAGUAAAGUUAAUACCUUUGCUCAUUGACGUUACCCGCAGAAGAAGCACCGGCUAACUCCGUG
This 490-nucleotide ribosomal RNA is filed under the name uncultured bacterium. RNAcentral describes it as "partial 16S ribosomal RNA". It matches the Rfam family "Bacterial small subunit ribosomal RNA", at positions 30 to 507 of the family's 1533-position model. The record is from RNAcentral.